Molecule: RNA transcript, 380 nt
Organism: Cercocebus atys (sooty mangabey)
Lineage: Eukaryota; Metazoa; Chordata; Mammalia; Primates; Cercopithecidae
Gene name: Ig kappa chain V-I region HK102-like
Exons: 3
Source: RefSeq, a predicted model, not a curated record
AUGGACAUGAGGGUCCCCGUUCAGCUCCUGGGGCUCCUUCUGCUCUGGCUCUCAGGUGCCAAAUGUGACAUCCAGAUGACCCAGUCUCCUUCCUCCCUGUCUGCAUCUGUGGGAGAAAAGUCACCAUCACUUGCCAGGCAAGUCAGAGUAUUAGCAGCUGGUUAACCUGGUAUCAGCAGAAACCAGGGAAAGCCCCUAAGCUCCUGAUCUAUAAGGCAUCCACUUUGCAAAGUGGGGUCCCAUCAAGGUUCAGCGGCAGUGGAUCUGGGACAGAAUUCACUCUCACCAUCAGCAGCCUGCAGCCUGAAGAUUUUGCAACUUAUUACUGUCAACAUUAUAAUGAUUUUCCCCCUUUGAGGCCAUUUAAAAAUUAUAUUUAA